RNAcentral lists this transfer RNA (64 nucleotides) under Brachycybe lecontii. RNAcentral's name for it is "tRNA-Thr". The record is from RNAcentral. Lineage: Eukaryota; Metazoa; Arthropoda; Diplopoda; Playtdesmida; Andrognathidae.
GCUUUAAUAGUUUAAACUAAAACUUUGAUUUUGUAAAUCAAAAUUGAUUAAAAAUCUUAAAGCU